GAUGAACGCUGGCGGCGUGCCUAAUACAUGCAAGUAGAACGCUGAAGGAGGAGCUUGCUCUUCUGGAUGAGUUGCGAACGGGUGAGUAACGCGUAGGUAACCUGCCUGGUAGCGGGGGAUAACUAUUGGAAACGAUAGCUAAUACCGCAUGACAACAGUUAUUGCAUGAUAACUGUUUAAAAGGGGCAACUGCUCCACUACCAGAUGGACCUGCGUUGUAUUAGCUAGUUGGUGAGGUAACGGCUCACCAAGGCGACGAUACAUAGCCGACCUGAGAGGGGGAUCGCCCACACUGGGACUGAGACACGGCCCAGACUCCUACGGGAGGCAGCAGUAGGGAAUCUUCGGCAAUAGACGGAAGUCUGACCGAGCAACGCCGCGUGAGUGAAGAAGGUUUUCGGAUCGUAAAGCUCUGUUGUAAGAGAAGAACGAGUGUGAGAGUGGAAAGUUCACACUGUGACGGUAUCUUACCAGAAAGGGACGGCUAACUACGUG
This 495-nucleotide ribosomal RNA is filed under the name uncultured bacterium. RNAcentral's name for it is "partial 16S ribosomal RNA". It matches the Rfam family "Bacterial small subunit ribosomal RNA", at positions 28 to 507 of the family's 1533-position model. The record is from RNAcentral.